AGCAAAAUGAAGCGUAAAGUAGGGCUGGGUAUCGUCACUGAUUUCUAGAAUCGAUUCAAUUCCGAUUCACAAGGUCCCGAAUCGAUUCGAUCCACGAUUCGAUUUAAUUCGAUUUGAUUUAAAUCUGGGAAAUUUUGACAGUCAGAAAUAUAAUUCAGAUCAGUACAUUUACAUAUUUUUGUAUCAAUAAAAAGGAAGCUGACACACUUUAUCACAGGUGUGAGCGUCACAGCAGAUGCCUUUGUGUCAAAGUAGCUGAGGAUAAAACACAGAAAAACAUGAAGAACAUUGUGUGCUUUGGAGAAACAGCAGAGGAUCAACAAAGGUUCAGUUUUAAAUCCAAACAACAUGGAGAAAAACAUUGUGUACUGCCUGCUGUGCAACAAGCCC
This is a long non-coding RNA of Astatotilapia calliptera (eastern happy), 390 nucleotides long. Lineage: Eukaryota; Metazoa; Chordata; Actinopteri; Cichliformes; Cichlidae. The record is from Ensembl.